GAGGGCGAUCUGGCUGCGACAUCUGUCACUCCAUUGAUCGCCAGGGUUGAUUUGGCUGGUGAAUAAGAGAUUUUCCCCACAUCCUC
This 86-nucleotide small nuclear RNA is filed under the name Callithrix jacchus (white-tufted-ear marmoset). RNAcentral describes it as "7SK RNA". It matches the Rfam family "7SK RNA", at positions 7 to 96 of the family's 331-position model. From Rfam's summary of the family: 7SK was discovered as an abundant small nuclear RNA in the mid-70s but a possible function has only recently been suggested. Two independent studies have found that 7SK RNA binds the CDK9/cyclin T complex (known as elongation factor P-TEFb). P-TEFb activates transcription by phosphorylating the C-terminal domain of RNA polymerase II. The record is from Rfam by way of RNAcentral. Lineage: Eukaryota; Metazoa; Chordata; Mammalia; Primates; Cebidae.